This 23-nucleotide non-coding RNA is filed under the name Cricetulus griseus (Chinese hamster). Lineage: Eukaryota; Metazoa; Chordata; Mammalia; Rodentia; Cricetidae. The record is from RNAcentral.
AAUUGAAUUUUGGGGAGUCUAUG